GUGCUGCCUUUGGCAGCACAUAUACUAAAAUUAGAAUGAUACAGAGAUUAACAUGGCGCUUGCAAAAUAGUGACAUGCAAAUUCAUGAAGAGUUCCAUAUUUAA
Small nuclear RNA from Perognathus longimembris pacificus (Pacific pocket mouse), 104 nucleotides. The record is from RefSeq and is a predicted model, not a curated record. Lineage: Eukaryota; Metazoa; Chordata; Mammalia; Rodentia; Heteromyidae.